RNAcentral lists this ribosomal RNA (252 nucleotides) under uncultured bacterium. Its description in RNAcentral is "partial 16S ribosomal RNA". It matches the Rfam family "Bacterial small subunit ribosomal RNA", at positions 108 to 353 of the family's 1533-position model. The record is from RNAcentral.
GAGUAACACGUAGGUAACCUGCCCAUGUGCCCGGGAUAACUGCUGGAAACGGUAGCUAAAACCGGAUAGGUAUGAGGAAGGCAUCUUCCUCAUAUUAAAGCACCUUCGGGUGUGAACAUGGAUGGACCUGCGGCGCAUUAGCUAGUUGGUGAGGUAACGGCCCACCAAGGCGAUGAUGCGUAGCCGACCUGAGAGGGUGAACGGCCACAUUGGGACUGAGACACGGCCCAAACUCCUACGGGAGGCAGCAUG